UUACCGUCAGUAUUCCCGCAAAAAAUCCGUUUAAUCAGACGGUGUAUUUAACAGAAUCCGUCACCGUUUAUUUCGUCCUCAAUUUUUCUCUGGACUGUAGAGGUGAGGUGAUAGAUUAUUGGAGAGGAUUGCUUGUGAAGAUCUUCUGUCUCUGUGGAUUCGAAACCAAUCUUCAAAAGGUAAAUCUCUGAGAUACCCUCUUUAUCCAUCCACUUUCUUCUUCUCUUCCAUAGUUUCAGAUUUUGUAGCUCUUUUCAAUUUUUAUUUAUUUAUUUAUUUUUUCCGUUUCUUCAGCCAUUCUCUUCUUACUGUACAUAUAUAUAUCUAGGGUUAUUUCAAAUUUCACUAUUUUUCUAUUUAGGAAUUGAAACAUUCUGAUCUUGAAGUCCUUAUUUCCCCUCUAAAGCGUUUUUGCUACAUGAGUCCUUUAUGGGGUGAUUGAUUUAGGGGUUAAUUCAGUAUAUGUUUCGGGGAUUUAUUUAUAUGGGGAUUUGAGAAGGUGCUUUUUAUUUUUUUAUUUUUUAUGUUGGUGGGUCUGAAAUUUCGUAGUAGCAGAGAACCACAUAGUAAAUUAGAGCAGAAAUGGGGGAAGAUUUACUCACAACCCUAACGAUUGAGAAAUAUCAUCCAUCAACAUUCUUAUCUAUGGAUUCGAUUGCCACUUCUCACGAGGAAUCGGAUCGAGACAUGAAUAGGCAGGUCAUCCUUUCUCGGCCACCUGAUAUUAAUCUUCCGCUAUCGGCGGAGAGAAGUCCUCCGCCAGGGCCACCACAGCUGUGGAACCAUGACAGCUAUGAUAUGCUAGAGGUUGGCCUUGGACAUCAAAUUAACGAAUCGGAAACACUACUGAAUAUUACUAAGAUUGGGCGGAAAUGUGCUAAGAGGUUGGAUAGUGUAUGGGGGGCUUGGUUUUUCUUUAGUUUCUACUUCAAGCCUGUUUUGAAAGAGAAGUCAAAGUGCAACAUAAUUCGGGAUAGCAAUGGGGUCUGUGGCUUUGAUAAGUCGGAUCUCCAGCUCGAUGUUUUCUUGGUUCAGCAUGAUAUGGAGAAUAUGUAUAUGUGGGUAUUCAAAGAGAGGCCUGAGAAUGCCUUGGGUAAGAUGCAGUUGAGGAGUUACAUGAAUGGGCACUCACGCCAGGGCGAGCGUCCAUUUCCGUUUAGUGUUGACAAGGGUUUUGUUCGAUCGCAUAGAAUGCAGCGGAAACAUUACAGGGGCCUUUCUAAUCCUCAGUGUGUGCAUGGGAUUGAGCUUGUUCCGUCACCAAAUCUUAUGGCUAUUGAUGAGGAAGAACAAAAGAAAUGGAUGGAACUUACUGGCAGAGAUCUUAAUUUCUCUCUCUCCCCUGAAGCAAGGGACUUUUCGUCAUGGAGAAACCUUCCGAACACGGAUUUUGAGCUUGAGAGACCACUUCCUCCAUUAAAGGGUAAUCCGCAUAACCCUUCAAGGAAAUUGCUUAAUGGGUCUGGUUUGAACUUGUCAACACUGCCAUCUAACCAGGUAAAUGGCAGUGGAAUAGAUCUCUUACCUGUUUGCAACAAGAGGAGGAAGGACCUCUUCCCACAUGGGAAUGAUGAAGAUUGUUGUCUGCCCAUUAAUCCACAUUCUGAUAGACUUCAAGAAAUGGAGAUCCACCCCAUUGAACCACCUUGGAUGAGUGAGUUUAGUGGGGUAAUGAGGAAUGUAUAUGGGCCUGUUACAGCAGCAAAAACUGUCUAUGAGGAUGAAGAAGGAUAUUUAAUCAUUAUCACCUUGCCUUUUGCUGAUCCUGAAAGGGUAAAAGUUCAUUGGUGGAACAAUCUCACUCAUGGUGUUGUGAAGAUAUCAUCCGUGAGCACAGCAUGCAUGCCCUUUGUCCAGAGAAAUGAUAGAACGUUUAAGCUCAGUGAUCCAUCUCCUGAGCACUGCCCUCCUGGAGAAUUUAAAAGAGAAAUCCCGCUUGCCACCCGAAUUCCAGAUGAUGCCAAGCUAGAAGCAUACUUCGAUAAAGGUGGAACAGUUCUUGAGAUUAAAGUGCCAAAACACCGUGUGGGACCAGAAGAGCAUGAGGUUCCUGUUUCCCUUCGUCCUCCCAAUGACUUUGUGUUGUCUUGAAUGUGGCAUUUGGGCAAUGAAAUGUAAGGGUAGCUAUUAUGAUCAGUUUAUCACUUACUAUGUCCCAAAAAAGAUAAAUUUCUAAGACAAAUUUUCAUCCUUGCUAAUCACAACUUUUCAAACUUUUGACUCAUAGCGAUUGAUUUGUUUUUUGUUUUUUUGUUGUUUUUUUUAGUUUUUUGGGGGUACCUUUAGUUUGGGAUUUGCUCCUGAGCUUAAAUAUGAAGUGCUAAGGUCUUUGGAAAUGUUCAAUCUCAAAUGGUUUCUUGCCUUUCAUUCUUCUGAAGCAUGGGGAGUAAUGUUAAACAGAUGAAACAAGAAAAAGACAUCAAACAUGUGAUGGUUUUUUUUUUUUUUUUUUUUUUUUUUUUUUUUUUUUUUUUUUUUUACCAUUUUUUUGUCUGACCUCUCAAUAUAUAUAUAUAUAUAUAUAUAUUCCCGUCUUACUAAUUAAAUAAACAGGUUGGAUACAGUAUUAAGUUAUGCAAAUUGUGCAGAAUAUUUUUAGUGGA
This is an RNA transcript of Cornus florida, 2603 nucleotides long. RefSeq lists it as uncharacterized. Lineage: Eukaryota; Viridiplantae; Streptophyta; Magnoliopsida; Cornales; Cornaceae. The transcript is spliced from 2 exons. The record is from RefSeq and is a predicted model, not a curated record.